UAAUUGUCAAGUCCAAAAAUUUAUAUUUUUUACUCUAUGGUGUAUUAAAUUAGAUAUUUUAAGAGCCAUGAUAUCUUAUGUGUCUUAGUCUAGAUCUUUAUAAAUAUUAUCGUAUGUUCCUUGUCCUCCCUGCUAGUGUAAACAAUAUAGGCCAAUUUAUGAAUUUCAUUAACUUACACACUUGUAUAUUAAUGGACAAACUAACUCAACAUGGAAACAACCAUAUCGAAUUGAUUCUCAAUUGCAACACACAAAUAGUAAGGAAAUUAAAGAUCCAUAACACGCAAAUUGAGACAGUAAAUUUUCACUACUCCAUAUGAUACAAAGAUUCUUAUUAGACAUGAUGCAAAAUAUUAAUUUGAUAAAGAAAAGAAAAAACACAUUAUGAUGAAGAAAGAGCAGGAGGACAAUCACAAAACAAUAAAUCUAGUGGUAUGAUAUUCAAUUAAAGACAACAAUCCAAAGCACAAAAUAUAAAAAAAGCUUGAGAAAUAUAAACUUUGAAGUGUCAACCCAUUCCCCAUGCCUCAACUCUCAACUUAUGCAACCAUGUUUAUGAAAAAACUAACAAAUAAAUUAUUCAAGUAAUGAUAAUUAAAAAUUAAACUCCUAAAUACUAUCAAAAUAUCCAUUAUUGAGUUGAUCAUACAUUAUAAAAAAAGUUUAAAUAGUAAAAGUAAUUAAAACAGGAGGAAAAUAAACAAGAAACCAAACCAAAUUAAACUCUGAAUUAUUGCAAAAUAGCUUAUAUAGUAAAAAAAUUGGAAAACAUCGUCUGAUUUAAAUCUUCAAAAAUUAUAUUGUCUUUUAUCAUUUUUUCUUUCACCAUUUAAUUACAAAACGAAAAUAUGACCUAUGUCAUGAACUUUAAUUGAAAUAAAGCAUACCUCUUGACAAAUAUAAAGAAUAAGAGAUAAACAUUAAGUAAAAGAAGGAUGGUUCUCAAGAAAAAAAUAACAAUCAAAGUUAUGAAGUUUUAGCUUACCUUCUCACUUCCAAGGUGGCAUAGCCAAAGAAGUUAUGGAAUCCCCCUUCAUAAUGAGUAUUGUACAAACAUCUAAUAAAACUUAGAUGAGUAUCUUCCCCUCUAUUUUGAUGUAAUGACGUUGCAAAAUAGUCUCAAUGCGGAAGAGAAACGAAAUCUAGCAACUACAACGAGAAAAAAAGAAAUGGUUUUGAGAAAAAAGAAAGGGUUUUGCGGCGUCAAUAUGAGAAAAAAAGGUUUAAGAGGACAAUGAGCAACACUGAAGACAAAGAAGAGAAAAGGGUUUCUCAGAAU
Molecule: long non-coding RNA, 1279 nt
Filed under: Lathyrus oleraceus (garden pea)
Lineage: Eukaryota; Viridiplantae; Streptophyta; Magnoliopsida; Fabales; Fabaceae
Description: Pisum sativum (pea) long non-coding RNA (PSAT_LNC021334)
Source: RNAcentral